RNAcentral lists this ribosomal RNA (433 nucleotides) under uncultured bacterium. RNAcentral describes it as "partial 16S ribosomal RNA". It matches the Rfam family "Bacterial small subunit ribosomal RNA", at positions 29 to 507 of the family's 1533-position model. The record is from RNAcentral.
AACGAACGCUGGCGGCAUGCCUAACACAUGCAAGUCGAACGGGAACUUCGGGUCUUGUUGCGCACGGGUGCGUGCCACCUGGUAACCAGCCCUUGGGUUCGGUGUCCCUCCCCGAGGGGGAUGCUCAUGACGCUUAAUCUCUUAGGACCUAAGAUUUCUCGCCUUUGGAUGGGCCCGCGUUGGAUUCGCGAGUUGGUAGGGUACAAGCCUACCAAGGCCACGAUCCUUAGCUGGUCGGAGAGGAGGAUCAGUCACACUUGGACUGAGACACGGCCCAGAAUCGGACGGGAGGCAGCAGUGGGGAAUAUUGGACAAGGGGCGAAGGCCUGAUACAGCAAUGCCGGGGAAGUGAGGAAGGCCGUAGGGUUGUAAAUCUCUCUUACCCGGGACGAUAAUGACGGUAACGGGAGAAGAAGCACCGGCUAACUCCGUG